AUCUCUGGGAACUUGCGAUCUCCCUGCCAGACAAGCACCUGAGACCCAAGUCGAUCUCCUGCUACGUCGCGGCUUGCUGUGAAACAGAACGAAAUAGCCAUGCAUAAGGAAGAAAUUCGUCUGAAAUUUUUCACGUGUGUGAUUCAGUCUCGCCGGUUAGUCAGGACUCCUCAGGGAACAGCCGGGGAAGCGCUGCCUUCCAGCAUGCUCAUACCACAGCUCCGGCCAGGGACAGAGUCGUCUGGGUGCUCUGGAGAGUCUGGGUGCUGUGGACGACCUGGAGACCAUGGAAGGCAUACCUAUUUUCAAAACUGGAGCUCAGGACCUCAUUGUCCCUGAGGACGGCUGUGG
Long non-coding RNA from Octodon degus (degu), 351 nucleotides. RefSeq lists it as uncharacterized. The record is from RefSeq and is a predicted model, not a curated record. Lineage: Eukaryota; Metazoa; Chordata; Mammalia; Rodentia; Octodontidae. The transcript has 5 exons.